GAUGAACGCUGGCGGCGUGCCUAAUACAUGCAAGUCGAGCGAACAGAUGAGGAGCUUGCUCCUCUGACGUUAGCGGCGGACGGGUGAGUAACACGUGGAUAACCUACCUAUAAGACUGGGAUAACUUCGGGAAACCGGAGCUAAUACCGGAUAAUAUAUUGAACCGCAUGGUUCAAUAGUGAAAGACGGUUUUGCUGUCACUUAUAGAUGGAUCCGCGCCGCAUUAGCUAGUUGGUAAGGUAACGGCUUACCAAGGCAACGAUGCGUAGCCGACCUGAGAGGGUGAUCGGCCACACUGGAACUGAGACACGGUCCAGACUCCUACGGGAGGAAGCAGUAGGGAAUCUUCCGCAAUGGGCGAAAGCCUGACGGAGCAACGCCGCGUGAGUGAUGAAGGUCUUCGGAUCGUAAAACUCUGUUAUUAGGGAAGAACAAAUGUGUAAGUAACUAUGCACGUCUUGACGGUACCUAAUCAGAAAGCCACGGCUAACUUCGU
RNAcentral lists this ribosomal RNA (496 nucleotides) under uncultured bacterium. RNAcentral describes it as "partial 16S ribosomal RNA". It matches the Rfam family "Bacterial small subunit ribosomal RNA", at positions 28 to 506 of the family's 1533-position model. The record is from RNAcentral.